GACGAACGCUGGCGGCGUGCUUAACACAUGCAAGUCGAACGGAAAGGCCUGCUUUCCCUUGUGGAUUGCGGGUACUCGAGUGGCGAACGGGUGAGUAACACGUGAGUGAUCUGCCCCCAACUUGGGUAUAAGCCUGGGAAACUGGGUCUAAUUCCCGAUAGGACUGCAGGGUGGGGCCGGUGGUGGAAACCGUUUUUCUAGGGGUUGGGGAUGAGCCCGCGGCCUAUCAGCUUGUUGGUGGGGUAAUGGCUUACCAAGGCGGCGACGGGUAGCCGGCCUGGGAGGGUGGACGGCCACAUUGGGACUGAGAUACGGCCCAGACUCCUACGGGAGGCAGCAGUGGGGAAUAUUGCACAAUGGGCGGAAGCCUGAUGCAGCGACGCCGCGUGGGGGAUGACGGCCUUCGGGUUGUAAACUCCUUUCGACCGCGAGGAAGCCACCUGGUUGGAAGGGUGGUGACGGUAGUGGUAGAAGAAGCACCGGCUAACUACGUG
Molecule: ribosomal RNA, 494 nt
Filed under: uncultured bacterium
Lineage: Bacteria
Description: partial 16S ribosomal RNA
Rfam family: Bacterial small subunit ribosomal RNA
Source: RNAcentral